GCGUAAUCUCCAGGUUCUUUUUGUAUUAGUUCCUAUGUACAGGAUACACAUGGUAUACACCAUCCAAUCAAAUGCUGACUUACAGGUUCCUUCUGGACUAUGCAACAACAAUAAGAAAUAAUAAAGAUAAGAAUACGAACAUAAAGUAAAUGACAGUAGAAUAGAAUAAACAUGUUAACAUUUAUUAUAAUACAGGAAGACACAAUUUAUAGUCCAAUAUUUACACCUGUUUUGUUUUGUGGAAGGGGGGAGUGUUUAAAUUGUACAGUAUUUAGAUAAUCAUAAUAAUAAACUGGUAGCAGCAGGUGUGUGUGUGUAGCAUGAAUGUGUGUGUGUGUGUGUAUAUGAGUGUAAACAUGAGUAUUAAGGCUCGUAGAAUCACAGCAGGUGGUCAGUCCAGUUCAAGUGUUCAGCAGUCUGAUGGCUUGUAGAUAGAAACAGUCUCUGAGUCUGUUGGUGUCAGACCUCGUGCUCCGAUACCGUCUGCCCGACGGUACUGGAAUGAACAGCUGGCGUCUGGGGAGUGUGGGGUCCUUGAUGAUGCUGCAGGCCUUUCUCAAACAGCGGUUCGAGUAGAUGCAUAGCUGAAUAACUAACCUUCAGCUCCUUCAGGAAGCCGCUUGAAUCAGUAGGCUCUAUCGGAGGAAGACCGCAGGCUGUGGUUUCUCCAUUGAUGCCAAUGUGAUGUUCUACUACACAGCGACCAGGUCGUCUGACAUGCUCUGUCCAAGCGUGUUUUAUUACAUCAUGGUGUACAUGGGGUUACGUAAGUACACCUUGUGUUCAGUACACAGAUAGGUGUUUGAGACUGGUGGUGCUGGCGGUAAAGCUAAGCGGUGUAACCGUGGUAACCUGGCCUUUCUGUUCCUUCCAGGUCUAUAACUUAAACAGAGACAGCCAAAGUGAAGGCAUGGUCCAGCUAGACGUGGUUGGCUUCAACGUGGUGAAGAAGUUCAUCUAUGCUGUGGAGACCAGAGGCAUCGAUGAGCAGGGUCUGUACAGGAUUGUUGGGGUGAACUCCAGAGUACAGAAACUACUGGGUCUUGCCAUGGAUCCUAAAACCUGUGCUGAUGUGGAGCUG
This is a long non-coding RNA of Oncorhynchus tshawytscha (Chinook salmon), 1081 nucleotides long. RefSeq lists it as uncharacterized. The record is from RefSeq and is a predicted model, not a curated record. NCBI's taxonomy places the organism in Eukaryota, Metazoa, Chordata, Actinopteri, Salmoniformes, Salmonidae. The transcript is spliced from 4 exons.